CCCACCUGACCUGCUCUGCCUCUGUCCUGGUCAGAGCGAUAGGUCCCCAGUCGUCCCUGCCUGCAAGUACCUUGGCUGGCAUUGCUGUUGGGAUUCUGGUUAUCAUCUCCCUGGCCACAGGGCUGGGCUGCUUCCUCUACUUCAGAAAUACCAGCAGGAAAACAACAGAAGAACCCAUCCAUGAGGCUGUAACACCCACCUCUGAGAAGGAGCACCCUGCCGCACCCAAUUCUUACUGGUCACAGCAUGUGUAUGCCAACGUGCCUGAACCUCAAGCAUGGGAUGGAGUCCAGAAGAAAGAGCUGGCUUCCACAACUCCCAGGAGCUAUUCUCACAGCGACAGAAAGCCAUCACCCAAAUUCUUGCAGCCUGCCUUGGCCCCCACUCCACCA
Molecule: long non-coding RNA, 392 nt
Organism: Talpa occidentalis (Iberian mole)
Lineage: Eukaryota; Metazoa; Chordata; Mammalia; Eulipotyphla; Talpidae
Exons: 5
Source: RefSeq, a predicted model, not a curated record